RNAcentral lists this ribosomal RNA (461 nucleotides) under Sarcocystis sp. Its description in RNAcentral is "SSU rRNA". It matches the Rfam family "Eukaryotic small subunit ribosomal RNA", at positions 320 to 781 of the family's 1831-position model. Lineage: Eukaryota; Apicomplexa; Conoidasida; Eucoccidiorida; Sarcocystidae. The record is from RNAcentral.
UUUCGACGGUACUGUAUUGGACUACCGUGGCAGUGACGGGUAACGGGGAAUUAGGGUUCGAUUCCGGAGAGGGAGCCUGAGAAACGGCUACCACAUCUAAGGAAGGCAGCAGGCGCGCAAAUUACCCAAUCCUGACUCAGGGAGGUAGUGACAAGAAAUAACAACACUGGAAAUUAUAUUUCUAGUGAUUGGAAUGAUGGGAAUCCAAACCCCUUUCAGAGUAACAAUUGGAGGGCAAGUCUGGUGCCAGCAGCCGCGGUAAUUCCAGCUCCAAUAGCGUAUAUUAAAGUUGUUGCAGUUAAAAAGCUCGUAGUUGGAUAUCUGCUGGGAGCAGCCAGUCCGCCUUAACGGGUGUGCACUUGGUGAAUUCUGGCAUCCUCCUGAUUGGUGUCAUCAUCACUUCAUUGUGUUGGUGGCAGCUGUCAGGACUGUUACUUUGAGAAAAUUAGAGUGUUUCAAGC